UCACUGCAUAUAGAUUGAGUACCUUAGUA
This 29-nucleotide small RNA is filed under the name Bombyx mori (domestic silkworm). RNAcentral describes it as "ovarian small RNA-25430". The record is from RNAcentral. Lineage: Eukaryota; Metazoa; Arthropoda; Insecta; Lepidoptera; Bombycidae.